Molecule: ribosomal RNA, 887 nt
Filed under: Entomophaga aulicae
Lineage: Eukaryota; Fungi; Entomophthoromycota; Entomophthoromycetes; Entomophthorales; Entomophthoraceae
Description: eukaryotic LSU rRNA
Rfam family: Eukaryotic large subunit ribosomal RNA
Source: RNAcentral
UUCCCGUAGUAAUGGCGAAUGAACUGGGAAAGGCUCAAAUUUAAAAUCACUCACGUGAAUUGUAGUUUAUAAGAUUAAAGUCUCACAGCAACCACUGUUUAAGUGCUCUGGAAUGAUCCGUCAUAGAGGGUGAAAUCCCCGUACUGAACAGAGAGGAAGCUGCAAAGAACUUUUUUCUCAAGAGUCGUGUUGCUUGUUAAUGCAGCAUUAAGUGGGAGGUAAAUUCCUUCUAAAGCUAAAUAUUGGAGAGAGCCCGAUAGCAAACAAGUACCGUGAGGGAAAGAUGAAAGAGAACCCUGAAAAGGGGACUCAAAAGAAUGUGAAAUCGUCAAAAGGGAAGCGCUAAGAACUGUCUGGAAUUCAGAUAUUUAAUAGCUUGCUAUUGAAUAUUUGGGUGGCUAUAGUCCUGUUUCGAACUUCAGGAAUCUUGGGAUAGAAAUUGUAGGCUUCGGUUUACCUUUUCUUGAACUUGAUUUCUAAGAUUUGGGGCAGGAUAUAAAUUCAGUUGGGCAAUCCAUGUGAAACUUUAUUCAAUAGACUUGUCUAGAGAGUAUUAGAAAGCAUGUACUGUUCAACAUCAAAAUUUAUAGUCAAGAGGUUCUAAGCGUCCCGUCUUGAAACACGGACCAAGGAGUCUAACAUAAAUGCAAGUAUAAGGGUGAUAAACCCUAAUGCGAAAUGAAAGUAAUUUCAGGUAGGAACCCCUAAAAAGGUGCACUAUCAACCGAACCUCAUGGAUUUGUUCAUAGGAUUUGAGUAAGAGCAUUUAUGUUGGUACCCGAAAGAUGGUGAACUAUGCCUGAAUAGGGUGAAGCCAGAGGAAACUCUGGUGGAAGCUCGUAGCGAUUCUGACGUGCAAAUCGAUCGUCGAAUUUGGGUAUAGGGGC